AGUCGAGCGGACAGAUAAGGAGCUUGCUCCUUUGACGUUAGCGGCGGACGGGUGAGUAACACGUGGGCAACCUGCCCCUUAGACUGGGAUAACUCCGGGAAACCGGAGCUAAUACCGGAUAAUCCCUUUCUCCACCUGGAGAGAGGGUGAAAGAUGGCUUCGGCUAUCACUAAGGGAUGGGCCCGCGGCGCAUUAUCUAGUUGGUAAGGUAACGGCUUACCAGGGCAACGAUGCGUACCCGACCUGAGAGGGUGAUCGGCCACACUGGGACUGACACACGGCCCACACUCCUACGGGAGGCAGCAGUAGGGAAUCUUCCGCAGUGGACGAAAGUCUGACAGAGCAACGCCGCGUGAGUGAGGAAGGCCUUCGGGUCGUAGAGCUCUGUUGUGAGGGAAGAAGCGGUACCGUUCGAAUAGGGCGGUACCUUGACGGUACCUCACCAGAAAGCCACGGCUAACUACGUGCCAGCAGCCGCGGUAAUACAUAUGUGGCAAGCGUUGUCCGGAAUUAUUGCGCGUAAAGCGCGCGCACGCGGCUUCUUAUGUCUGAUGUGAUAUCUCGGGGCU
RNAcentral lists this ribosomal RNA (569 nucleotides) under bacterium 60-L049616-122-011-D08. RNAcentral's name for it is "bacterial SSU rRNA". It matches the Rfam family "Bacterial small subunit ribosomal RNA", at positions 60 to 609 of the family's 1533-position model. The record is from RNAcentral.